UCACCAAAGAGUGCUUGUUGGCUGACAGAAACUGAUGUCAGGAAGACCAAUUAAAAUGAAGAGCCAGAGUCAGGAUCCUGAUUCCUUUCCUGCCAUCACUUCCAAAGUAGCCUUUUUCAUGCAUCCAGCAUAUUGUGAAGAGGAGUAGAAACAAGAGCUUAUCAGCCAUCAGAGAAUUACACCUAAUCAUCCGUAAGCAGGAACUGAAUUAAGAAAUAUGGGCAAAAUGGAGAAGAAACACAGCGUGUGUGCAUACUCAGUCGUGUUGGACUCUUCGUGACCUCAUGGACUGUAGACCACCAGGCUCCU
Cervus elaphus (red deer) is the source of this 309-nucleotide long non-coding RNA. RefSeq lists it as uncharacterized. NCBI's taxonomy places the organism in Eukaryota, Metazoa, Chordata, Mammalia, Artiodactyla, Cervidae. The record is from RefSeq and is a predicted model, not a curated record. The transcript is spliced from 3 exons.